Molecule: ribosomal RNA, 506 nt
Filed under: uncultured bacterium
Lineage: Bacteria
Description: partial 16S ribosomal RNA
Rfam family: Bacterial small subunit ribosomal RNA
Source: RNAcentral
AUUGAACGCUGGCGGCAGGCCUAACACAUGCAAGUCGAACGGUAACAGGAAGCAGCUUGCUGCUUCGCUGACGAGUGGCGGACGGGUGAGUAAUGUCUGGGAAACUGCCUGAUGGAGGGGGAUAACUAAUGGAAACGGUAGCUAAUACCGCAUAACGUCGCAAGACCAAAGAGGGGGACCUUCGGGCCUCUUGCCAUAGGAUGAGCCCAGAUGGGAUUAGCUAGUAGGUGGGGUAACGGCUCACCUAGGCGACGAUCCCUAGCUGAGCUGAGAGGAUGCCCAGCCACACUGGAACUGAGACACGGUCCAGAAUCCUACGGGAGGCAGCAGUGGGGAAUAUUGCACAAUGGGCGCAAGCCUGAUGCAGCCAUGCCGCGUGUAUGAAGAAGGCCUUCGGGUUGUAAAGUACUUUCAGCGGGGAGGAAGGCGAUAAGGUUAAUAACCUUGUCGAUUGACGUUACCCGCAGAAGAAGCACCGGCUAACUCCGUGCCAGCAGCCGCCGUAA